Molecule: ribosomal RNA, 254 nt
Filed under: uncultured Singulisphaera sp.
Lineage: Bacteria; Pseudomonadati; Planctomycetota; Planctomycetia; Isosphaerales; Isosphaeraceae
Description: partial 16S ribosomal RNA
Rfam family: Bacterial small subunit ribosomal RNA
Source: RNAcentral
GACGAACCGUGCGAACGUUAUUCGGAAUCACUGGGCUUAAAGCGCGUGUAGGCGGAUGGCCGCGUCGAUGGCUGAAAGCCCCCGGCUCAACCGGGGAACGGGCCUCGAAACGGGUCGUCUGGAGGAGGGUAGGGGGACCUGGAACUUCCGGUGGAGCGGUGAAAUGCGUUGAGAUCGGAAGGAACGCCCGUGGCGAAAGCGAGGUCCUGGGCCCUUACUGACGCUGAGACGCGAAAGCCAGGGGAGCGAACGGG